This 497-nucleotide ribosomal RNA is filed under the name uncultured bacterium. RNAcentral's name for it is "partial 16S ribosomal RNA". It matches the Rfam family "Bacterial small subunit ribosomal RNA", at positions 28 to 507 of the family's 1533-position model. The record is from RNAcentral.
GAUGAACGCUGGCGGCGUGCCUAAUACAUGCAAGUCGAGCGAACAGACGAGGAGCUUGCUCCUCUGACGUUAGCGGCGGACGGGUGAGUAACACGUGGAUAACCUACCUAUAAGACUGGGAUAACUUCGGGAAACCGGAGCUAAUACCGGAUAAUAUAUUGAACCGCAUGGUUCAAUAGUGAAAGACGGUUUUGCUGUCACUUAUAGAUGGAUCCGCGCCGCAUUAGCUAGUUGGUAAGGUAACGGCUUACCAAGGCAACGAUGCGUAGCCGACCUGAGAGGGUGGUCGGCCACACUGGAACUGAGACACGGUCCAGACUCCUACGGUAGGCAGCAGUAGGGAAUCUUCCGCAAAGGGCGAAAGCCUGACGGAGCAACGCCGCGUGAGUGAUGAAGGUCUUCGGAUCGUAAAACUCUGUUAUUAGGGAAGAACAAAUGUGUAAGUAACUAUGCACGUCUUGACGGUACCUAAUCAGAAAGCCACGGCUAACUACGUG